GCGGAAGUGGCGGAACGGCAGACGCGCUAGCUUCAGGAGCUAGUGAGCUUCGGCUCGUGGGGGUUCAAAUCCCCCCUUCCGCACCA
This 86-nucleotide transfer RNA is filed under the name Acidobacteriota bacterium. RNAcentral's name for it is "Acidobacteria bacterium (hydrothermal vent metagenome) tRNA-Leu". It matches the Rfam family "tRNA". From Rfam's summary of the family: Transfer RNA (tRNA) molecules are approximately 80 nucleotides in length. Their secondary structure includes four short double-helical elements and three loops (D, anti-codon, and T loops). Lineage: Bacteria; Pseudomonadati; Acidobacteriota. The record is from RNAcentral.